This 217-nucleotide unclassified non-coding RNA is filed under the name uncultured fungus. Its description in RNAcentral is "sequence contains ITS1, 5.8S rRNA gene". The record is from RNAcentral. Lineage: Eukaryota; Fungi.
UUUCUGUAGGUGAACUUGCGGAAGGAUCAUUAAUGUGAAUGCUGAUUGCACUCUGCACCCUGCUCCGCCCUUGCGGAUGUCAAGCGGUGCAGGCGCAGUCCAUGUGUGACCCACUUAUCAAACCACUUGUGCACCUGUCCGGGGGUGAAACCCCGUAUACACAAACAGGCUGAAAUGAAAUGAACCUUUUGGGGUGAUAUGCCUCUUAGACAUGUAA